Molecule: RNase P RNA, 405 nt
Filed under: Chitinophagales bacterium
Lineage: Bacteria; Pseudomonadati; Bacteroidota; Chitinophagia; Chitinophagales
Description: RNase P RNA component class A
Rfam family: Bacterial RNase P class A
About the family: Ribonuclease P (RNase P) is a ubiquitous endoribonuclease, found in archaea, bacteria and eukarya as well as chloroplasts and mitochondria.
Source: RNAcentral
ACUACAAGCUGAGCUAUCGCUUUUUUGAAAAACAGAGAGAGGAAAGUCCGGACAGCACAGAGCACUCUGCCACCUAACGGGUGGGCUUGUUCAUUGAGAAGUGGAUAAGACGGAAAGUGUAACAGAAAAUAACUACCUGUUUUUAUUUAUAAAGAUGGGAAAAGGUGAAAACGUGCGGUAAGAGCGCACGACAAGGUAUGGCAACAUAUCUUGGGUAAAAACCUCAGAGGCUGAAAGACCAAAUAUAUCUUGUACAGGGCUGCUCGCCCUUUUUGACAAUAGAGGCAACUCUAUUUCAUAAGCAAGAAGGGUAGGUCGUAUGAGUUUUGGUGUGAGCCAAAAUCGAGAUAAAUGAUAGCUGAUCAUUUCGGUGAUACAGAAUCCGGCUUAUGGCUUGUAGUAUAA